AUGUGGGGCUCAGGCAAGUUCAUGCGACAUCCCUUGUCUGAGUUCACUGUGCAGUUGGGCCCCACCCUGGACAUGUGGGUUCCCUCUAGCUUCAAUGACAUCGGCCAGGACUAGUGGUUGUGGCAUUUUUUCAGGUAGGUGUGGUACGAAGGGGAGGUGACCCUGCCAGAGCAAUGGACCCAGGAUCUGUGCACGAGUGGUGCUGAGGAUUGGCACUGCCCACUCCUAUGCCAUCGUGUGGGUGAAUAGGAUCGACUCGCUAGAGCAUGAGGGGCUGACAUCAGCAGCCCUGUCGAGGUUGGGCCCCUGCCCUCCUGCCUCUGCAUCACUAUUGCCAUCAACAACAUCCUCACGCCCUCCACCCUGCCACCAGGGACCAUCCGCUACAUGACCAGCACCUCCAAGUAUCCCAAGGGUUACUUUGUCCAGAAAACAGACUUCGACUUCUUCAACUACGCGGGACUGCAGCGGUUGGUGCUUCUGUACAUGACACCCACCACCUACAUCGAUGACAUCACCAUCACCACCGGCGUGGAGCACAACAGUGGGCCAGUGAAUGACCAGAUCUCCGUCAAGUGCAGUAAACAGUUCGAGUUGGAAGUGCGUCUUUUGGAUGCAGAAAACAAAGUCAUGGUCAAUGAAGCGAGGACCCAGGGCCAGCUGAAGGUGCCAGUUGCCAGCCUCUUGUGGCCGUACUUGAUGCACGAAUGCUCGACCUAUCUAUACUCGUUGGAGGUGCGGCUGACUGCACAGACGUCACUGGGGCCUGUGUCUGACUUCUACACACUCCCUGUGGAGAUCUGCACUGUGGCUGUUAUUGAGAGCCAGUUCCUCAUCAAUGGGAAACCUUUCUAUUUCCACAGCAUCAACAAGCACGAGGAUGCAGACCUGCAUUUGUGCCCCUGGAUCCGAGGGAAGGGCUUCGACUGGCCACUGCUGGUGAAAGACUUCAGCCUGCUUCUCUGGCUUGGUGCCAACACCUUCCACACCAGCCACUACCCCUAGGUGGAGGAAGUGCUGCAGAUAUGUGACUGCUAUGGGAUUGUGGUCAUCAAUGAGUAGUGUCCCACCGUGGGCCUGGUGCUGCCAUGACUCUUCAAUUGUGUCUAUGCAUCAACACACGUGGCUGAUGGAGGAACUGGUGUGCAGGGACAAGAACCACCAUGCUGUGGUGAAGUGGUCUAUGGCCAACGAGCCUGCAUCCUACCUGGAAUCUGCCGGCUACUACUUCCAGUGA
Mandrillus leucophaeus (drill) is the source of this 1237-nucleotide RNA transcript. It is a transcript of the gene named beta-glucuronidase-like, with no coding region annotated. The record is from RefSeq and is a predicted model, not a curated record. The transcript is spliced from 8 exons. Lineage: Eukaryota; Metazoa; Chordata; Mammalia; Primates; Cercopithecidae.